RNAcentral lists this transfer-messenger RNA (389 nucleotides) under Desulfovibrio sp. It matches the Rfam family "transfer-messenger RNA". Rfam says of the family: Bacterial tmRNA, also known as 10Sa RNA or SsrA, is named for its dual tRNA and mRNA-like properties. Its role is to liberate the mRNA from a stalled ribosome. Lineage: Bacteria; Pseudomonadati; Thermodesulfobacteriota; Desulfovibrionia; Desulfovibrionales; Desulfovibrionaceae. The record is from RNAcentral.
GGGGGCGCACCGGUUUCGACGGGGACGUGGAAGCCGGAGCGGCAGGCCGAGGCGCCGCUGGCCUCGUAAAAAGCGGCAACACAGUAAUUGCCAACAACGAUUACAACUCUGACUACGCCUACGCCUACGCGGCUUAGACGAGUCACUUGACCGCGUAACACCGGUCACGCUGUUCGGGAUGACGCCUGAUGUUCCCGGAUGGCGGCAUCUUAUCGGGCUGGCGAAAACUGGCGCCCACCGGAGUUUUCGCAAGAUGUUACGGCGGGCUUGCCUGUCUGCGGCUGAUCAGGGCCAAACAGCACGGGCGAGAAUGUAUGCCUGAUCUAAGCCUGUAGAUGCUUCGCGUGGAAUGCUCUCGGACAGGGGUUCGACUCCCCUCGCCUCCACCA